Picea glauca (white spruce) is the source of this 121-nucleotide non-coding RNA. NCBI's taxonomy places the organism in Eukaryota, Viridiplantae, Streptophyta, Pinopsida, Pinales, Pinaceae. The record is from Rfam.
UUGUAAUGUAAUGCCUACAAUAUUAAUGCACCGAAUCCCAUUAGAACUCCAUAAUUAAACGCUUUUGGGUUAGAGUAGUACUGGGAUGGGUGACCUCCUGGAAGUCCUAGUGUUUUACAUG